AAGCAAUUUAAACAGUGUGCUAGCUAGGUUUAAGGAUUGCAGUAUUGAAACAAAAGGCAUGAGUCUUUUAGCCCCUUGUGUAAAGACACGCAGAGUUAUAACUCAAUGAUACAGCU
This is a non-coding RNA of Phyllostomus discolor (pale spear-nosed bat), 116 nucleotides long. RefSeq annotates it as small Cajal body-specific RNA 1. NCBI's taxonomy places the organism in Eukaryota, Metazoa, Chordata, Mammalia, Chiroptera, Phyllostomidae. The record is from RefSeq and is a predicted model, not a curated record. The transcript has a single exon.